This 404-nucleotide long non-coding RNA is filed under the name Phascolarctos cinereus (koala). Its description in RNAcentral is "lncRNA (ENSPCIG00000031688.1)". The record is from RNAcentral. Lineage: Eukaryota; Metazoa; Chordata; Mammalia; Diprotodontia; Phascolarctidae.
GUCUACGUGCGGAUUUUGCAGUCGGCAAGGAGAGUGUGCGCUCGUGGCCGUGGGCCCCUCUGUGCUCUCUCAGGCUGGGAACCACCCUAGGGCAGGGGAGGUCCCUCUUGUGGCUCUCUUGGCUUGGCAGAAAUGCCACUCAUUUAUACCCGUGUCUGUUUUUGUUCCAGGUUUGUCCAAGACAAAGACUUAGCUGGCAGAAGACUCCAAAGGCCCUGGUGAAAACCCAUUCCUCUUCCCACCCAAAGAGGCCUCUUUCUGGAUCAUCGCCCGCACAUCAAGUGGCUGCCCCUUCUGUGAGCCUAACAGUGCAGAACCAGCACCCCAGGGACUCGUGACUGCCCUCUGUAAGUUGGGGAUGAGACACCACCCUUCCCUCUCCUUGACCCCUAACUUCUCACUAC